GUUAAAACUCAAAUGAAUUGACGGGGGCCCGCACAAGCGGUGGAGCAUGUGGUUUAAUUCGAUGCAACGCGAAGAACCUUACCUGGUCUUGACAUCCACAGAAGAAUCCAGAGAUGGAUUUGUGCCUUCGGGAACUGUGAGACAGGUGCUGCAUGGCUGUCGUCAGCUCGUGUUGUGAAAUGUUGGGUUAAGUCCCGCAACGAGCGCAACCCUUAUCCUUUGUUGCCAGCGGUUAGGCCGGGAACUCAAAGGAGACUGCCAGUGAUAAACUGGAGGAAGGUGGGGAUGACGUCAAGUCAUCAUGGCCCUUACGACCAGGGCUACACACGUGCUACAAUGGCGCAUACAAAGAGAAGCGACCUCGCGAGAGCAAGCGGACCUCAUAAAGUGCGUCGUAGUCCGGAUUGGAGUCUGCAACUCGACUCCAUGAAGUCGGAAUCGCUAGUAAUCGUGGAUCAGAAUGCCACGGUGAAUACGUUCCCGGGCCUUGUACACACCGCCCGUCACACCAUGGGAGUGGGUUGCAAAAGAAGUAGGUAGCUUAACCUUCGGGAGGGCGCUUACCACUUUGUGAUUCAUGACUGGGGUGAAGUCGUAACAAGGUAACCGUAGGGGAACCUGCGGUUGGAUCACCUCCUUACCUUAAAGAA
Molecule: ribosomal RNA, 650 nt
Filed under: Salmonella enterica subsp. enterica serovar Anatum
Lineage: Bacteria; Pseudomonadati; Pseudomonadota; Gammaproteobacteria; Enterobacterales; Enterobacteriaceae
Description: bacterial SSU rRNA
Rfam family: Bacterial small subunit ribosomal RNA
Source: RNAcentral